UACCGUGCCUGAGGCGCUGAGCCUGGGCGCUUUGCAUGGAGCCAACUCCAGGUCAUGUCACCACGGCUCUGGGAGGCCAGGGCGACCGCGGCCGUUGUUGCAGAAGGGGAAACUGAGGCACAGAGCAGCAAAUUCACCGGCCGAGUCCAGAUAGGAACCUGGGGUUCGGUCCAUAAGCAAGCCCAGCUGGCUUCAGUUCCCAAACGUGUCUGGGAUCCAGCUCCUUCCCGCCACCACCGUCCUCAGCUGGUCCAAGCCACCACCACCUCCACCCGCAGCAACAGAAAGGCCUCCGGACUGCCCUCCGGCGUCAGCUCCUGGCAUUCCCGGUCGCCGCCUGGCAGCCGGAGCGAUCUUUCCAAAGCAUAAGCUGGAUCGGGUCACUCGCUUCGUCUGACCUUCCCCUGAGACAGAAGAUGCAGGCACUUCCUGUUGUUCCCCAUGGGACACAGUUCCAUCCGCCCCUCCCACCUUAACCCACCUACUGUCUCCCCCUUCUCUGGGCUCCAGCCACUUUGGUUAUGUCUGUCGCUCAAGCACAUUAAGCUUAUUCCUGUCCCUGGGUCUUUGCACUUGCUUUGCCUGACUUGGAAUAAUCGUUCCUCCAGCUCCUUGCAAAGUUAUCACCUUACCAACUCGGUCACAGCCCAGCCUCCUCUGGUCUUCACUGACCACCAGCCAUAGCAGGGCCCCCAGUCACUCUCUGGACCUUCGUUUAAGACCUGACUCAUCAGAAAAGACCCUGAUGCUGGGAAAGAUUGAGGGCAGGAGGAGAAGGAAACGACAGAGGACAAGAUGGUUGGAUGGCAUCACCGACUCAGUGGACGUGAGUCUGAGUAAGCUCCUGGAUUUGGUGAUGGACAGGGAGG
This is a long non-coding RNA of Bos taurus (domestic cattle), 869 nucleotides long. The record is from Ensembl. Lineage: Eukaryota; Metazoa; Chordata; Mammalia; Artiodactyla; Bovidae.